UAUUGCCCAAUGGAGGCAACUCUGACGCAGUGACGCCGCGUAUAGGAAGAAGGUUUUCGGAUUGUAAACUAUUGUCCUCAGGGAAGAANAAAGACUGUACCUGAGAAGGAAGCCACGGCUAACUACGUGCCAGCAGCCGCGGUAAUACGUAGGGAGCAAGCGUUAUCCGGAAUUAUUGGGUGUAAAGGGUGCGUAGACGGGAUAACAAGUUGGUUGUGAAACCCCUCGGCUCAACUGAGGAACUGCAACCAAAAAUAUUAUUCUUGAGUGCAGGAGAGGAAAGUGGAAUUCCUAGUGUAGCGGUGAAAUGCGUAGAUAUUAGGAAGAACACCGUUGGCGAAGGCGACUUUCUGGACUGUAACUGACGUUGAGGCACGAAAGUGUGGGGAGCAAACAGG
Molecule: ribosomal RNA, 398 nt
Filed under: uncultured bacterium
Lineage: Bacteria
Description: bacterial SSU rRNA
Rfam family: Bacterial small subunit ribosomal RNA
Source: RNAcentral